UUCGAGUGGCGGACGGGUGAGUAACGCGUGGGUAACCUGCCUUACACAGGGGGAUAACACCUGGAAACAGGUGCUAAUACCGCAUAAGCGCACAGGGCCGCAUGGCCCGGUGUGAAAAACUCCGGUGGUGUAAGAUGGACCCGCGUCUGAUUAGCCAGUUGGCGGGGUAACGGCCCACCAAAGCGACGAUCAGUAGCCGACCUGAGAGGGUGACCGGCCACAUUGGGACUGAGAUACGGCCCAGACUCCUACGGAAGGCAGCAG
Molecule: ribosomal RNA, 264 nt
Filed under: uncultured bacterium
Lineage: Bacteria
Description: partial 16S ribosomal RNA
Rfam family: Bacterial small subunit ribosomal RNA
Source: RNAcentral